GGAAUGGCAGGCUCCCAGCUGCCCCCGCCACUUCUGCUGCUGGCUCUGGUGCUGCUGCUGGGGAAUUUCUCUUCACAGACACCUCCAGAGGCAAGGGCUUCGCUCAGAAGGCACAUUUACCCUCGUUGCGGAGCCCAGGAAACCGAGGCGGAGGCAAGCCGAGUCUCCCAGCUGUGCCAGGCCCAGCAGACUCAAUGGAGCGGCGCCCCUAGUUCAGGGGAAGACUCCAUGAUCUCCCAUAGGUCUUCAAGUUCAGAGGCAAACCCCACCAUCCAGCCCAGCUCCAGCUCCACAAGUCCAGGGUUGGCGCCCACCUUCCCACAACCAGAAACAGUCACCCCCUCCCAGUUCUGGCUCCCCCAGUUCAGAGCUCACCACUACCUCCCACUCCGCAAAUUUCCACCAACUUGACCCUGCAUUGGAGCUCCUCUUCUCCCAGCCCCAGAACAGAGCCCCCCUCCAUGCCCUCCAACACCACUGAUGGGACCUCUGUGGCCACUGGCCCUGGGAGCUGCGAGCCAAAGCUCAUCUUUUGCCCAUCACCCACCAGAGUGAUCUCCAUGGGGCUGAGAAGGAGGGGCGCUUGGAUGGAGCAGGCGCACCUGGGAGGGGCUAGCCUUGCCAGAAUAAAGCCCUUACUGUUCCUC
Molecule: long non-coding RNA, 647 nt
Organism: Canis lupus familiaris (dog)
Lineage: Eukaryota; Metazoa; Chordata; Mammalia; Carnivora; Canidae
Exons: 4
Source: RefSeq, a predicted model, not a curated record